UGCAGUCGAGCGGACAGAUGGGAGCUUGCUCCCUGAUGUCAGCGGCGGACGGGUGAGUAACACGUGGGUAACCUGCCUGUAAGACUGGGAUAACUCCGGGAAACCGGGGCUAAUACCGGAUGCUUGAUUGAACCGCAUGGUUCAAUUAUAAAAGGUGGCUUUUAGCUACCACUUACAGAUGGACCCGCGGCGCAUUAGCUAGUUGGUGAGGUAACGGCUCACCAAGGCAACGAUGCGUAGCCGACCUGAGAGGGUGAUCGGCCACACUGGGACUGAGACACGGCCCAGACUCCUACGGGAGGCAGCAGUAGGGAAUCUUCCGCAAUGGACGAAAGUCUGACGGAGCAACGCCGCGUGAGUGAUGAAGGUUUUCGGAUCGUAAAACUCUGUUGUUAGGGAAGAACAAGUACCGUUCGAAUAGGGCGGUACCUUGACGGUACCUAACCAGAAAGCCACGGCUAACUACGUGCCAGCAGCCGCGGUAAUACGUAGGUGGCAAGCGUUGUCCGGAAUUAUUGGGCGUAAAGCGCGCGCAGGCGGUUUCUUAAGUCUGAUGUGAAAGCCCCCGGCUCAACCGGGGAGGGUCAUUGGAAACUGGGGAACUUGAGUGCAGAAGAGGAGAGUGGAAUUCCACGUGUAGCGGUGAAAUGCGUAGAGAUGUGGAGGAACACCAGUGGCGAAGGCGACUCUCUGGUCUGUAACUGACGCUGAGGCGCGAAAGCGUGGGGAGCGAACAGGAUUAGAUACCCUGGUAGUCCACGCCGUAAACGAUGAGUGCUAAGUGUUAGAGGGUUUCCGCCCUUUAGUGCUGCAGCACACGCAUUAAGCACUCCGCCUGGGGAGUACGGUCGCAAGACUGAGACUCAAAGGAAUUGACGGGGGCCCGCACAAUCGGUGGAGCAUGUGGUUUAAUUCGAAGCAACGCGAAGAACCUUACCAGGUCUUGACAUCCUCUGACAACCCUACAUAUAGGGCUUCCCC
RNAcentral lists this ribosomal RNA (981 nucleotides) under Bacillus sp. NCCP-2366. RNAcentral's name for it is "bacterial SSU rRNA". It matches the Rfam family "Bacterial small subunit ribosomal RNA", at positions 56 to 1018 of the family's 1533-position model. Lineage: Bacteria; Bacillati; Bacillota; Bacilli; Caryophanales; Bacillaceae. The record is from RNAcentral.